RNAcentral lists this non-coding RNA (27 nucleotides) under Mus musculus (house mouse). Lineage: Eukaryota; Metazoa; Chordata; Mammalia; Rodentia; Muridae. The record is from RNAcentral.
UCCUACAGGAGAAGUUAGUUGCCAAAU